Molecule: ribosomal RNA, 460 nt
Filed under: uncultured bacterium
Lineage: Bacteria
Description: partial 16S ribosomal RNA
Rfam family: Bacterial small subunit ribosomal RNA
Source: RNAcentral
CCUACGGGAGGCUGCAGUGAGGAAUAUUGGUCAAUGGACGAGAGUCUGAACCAGCCAAGUAGCGUGAAGGAUGACUGCCCUAUGGGUUGUAAACUUCUUUUAUAUGGGAAUAAAAUGUUCCACGUGUGGGAUUUUGUAUGUACCAUAUGAAUAAGGAUCGGCUAACUCCGUGCCAGCAGCCGCGUUAAUACGGAGGAUCCGAGCGUUAUCCGGAUUUAUUGGGUUUAAAGGGAGCGUAGGUGGAUUGUUAAGUCAGUUGUGAAAGUUUGCGGCUCAACCGUAAAAUUGCAGUUGAAACUGGCAGUCUUGAGUACAGUAGAGGUGGGCGGAAUUCGUGGUGUAGCGGUGAAAUGCUUAGAUAUCACGAAGAACUCCGAUUGCGAAGGCAGUUCACUGGACUGCAACUGACACUGAGGCUCGAAAGUGUGGGUAUCAAACAGGAUUAGAUACCCUUGUAGUC